GGAAGAUGCAGCGUGGAAUACGAGGCUGAUUCUGAAGGGUCUGCUAGGUCAUGCCAAGGAAUUCGGACUUCAUUUUGAGAGCAGUUAGAAGUCAUGGAAGGGAAUGAGGCUGAGAAGAUCAGGGCUGAGUUCAUGGGAGACCGGACUGGCAAGAUUAAAGUAGGGUCAAGGAUGCCAGUCAAGGGCAAGUGCAGCAAUGGGGGUGAGAGAUGACUGUGGCCUGGACCAAGGCUGCAGGAGUGAGUGUGGCAGGGAGGACAGGUUGCAGAGGUGUUCAGGGCCGGGAAGCAGUAGGACUCGGGGUUGGUUAGAUGGGGAGAUGAGGGAAAAGACGGUGGUUAAAGCUGACCAGAUUUGAGGCACUUUUGAGGCCCUCGAGAUAUCAUGGAGUCCAGUGUGUUGUCCUCUGGAGGGACUGACCCUGUGCUAUCCCAGCAUAUCCAGCCUAGAAAAAUAACCUGCAACAAUGGGCAAGAGCAGCAGUGGAGGCGAGAGAUGACCGUGGCCUGCACCAAGGCUGCAGGAGUGAGUGUGGCAGGAAGGAGGGGCUCUGCAAAAACUGAAUAGGCAGCUUUAACUUUCUACAGAGUGCAAGUAUGUGGUCAUUCUCUGUAAGUCUUGAUAGCAGGUUCCAAAGAAAUAACUUUGAAUUUAAUAGAACUUCAAUGAAACAUCUGGGAAAACCCUCCAAAUAUCUUUAGGUGAUUAUAGUCUGGCUUUGGCUGAGCCCUAGGUGUGACUGACUAGCUAGGAUCUGGUUGAUUCUCUUGAUUGGUAAAGACUCAUGUGAGAGUUUUUAAUUCUUUGACAUGAGAACCAAAGCUCAGUAUCUUGUUUUUUUGAGCACAAAUUUAAGAGCUUCUCUCAAGGCUGGUCCCUGUGAGGAUGAUGUUGGGGUUUGAGGUGCAGCCUGGAGACUCGUGAGCAAUGGAGACUCGUGAGCAAUGUGGGCCCCACGUCCCAGGGUUGAGUGGCUUCUGUGGCCUUUGGAUAGUUGUCAUGAACAAUUGUCAAGAAGUUUAUCUUCCUUAGCAUAUGAAAGAUAAAGCAAGCUUUCCUCGAUUGCCAUCACAGCACAAGGCCGGAUUCUGGAGGGCUCAGGGCAACAAUGUAGAAUUGAGGAGAUGCCGAAAAGCAUAAGAAGAAUACAUUAUCGCUUCUGUCCCACACCUGGAGAUAACCAUGGUUAACAUUUUGGUUUCUAUUUUUCUAAUCUUUUUCCUGUGGAGUUAUGAUGUGUUAUAUACACAUACUUUUAUUUUUACACAAAAUCAGGAUUAUAAUUUACAUGCUAUCUUGUUACCUCCCUGUAGCUACAAUUUCUCAUGGUUUUAAAAGGAAUAAAGAGAAGGAAAAGAGCUUGUGAAAAUCCUCAAGUUGUAUUUGAAUGAAGAAGCUGUUUUGUUCUCAUUAAGAUUUAUCUGUUGUUUGAUUGUUCAUGAUGCCCAGUUACCUCAAGCCGCUUCCAGAUGAUGUUAAAUGAAAAUAUAACAGAAAGAAGAAAACUCUCCAUAAACACAACGCCUGUGGUCAAACGUCAUACCCUUGUGCCCUGAGGGACCGGAGAAUACUUUCCUGUCUCUGCCUUUCUCGCCAAAGCAAAACUUAGAAGCUUUCGUAAUUAGACAGUGAGACUGAAUAACCAUGAGUGUGGAUAAUAUGUAGUAUUGCGAGACGUAUUGGGCAAAAGUACACUUACUGUCGUCACCUAAACUGAUUAAAGGCUCGUUCAGUUCAAUUUUCUUGAAUCUAAUUAAUAUGUUUUUGUCAUUUAUUAUUAUAGUGCACACAUAUUAUCUGUAUUUGAUUUCACUUGGCUAAAAUUAAAUGAGCAGAUGUUGCCUGUUGUGUCCAUUGUCCCCUUCUCUCUGUCAUUGUUAAAAAGAGUAAGCGCAGCUUUUCACACCCCCCCUUCCCGUCUUCUCCACUGGACGCUCUUCAUCCAGCCUCUCUCCAUCCCUCUUAGCUCCAAAGGGUCUGCAAAUAAAGUGGGUACGAGCUGAUGCAAUAGGAUUUGCCUCAGUAAAUAAUGUUUUUGUUACCUUAGUUUUACGUCUUUUAAGAAAAAUUUUAAGUAUCUGUAAAAACACUUAAUGAAACCUGGUGGUCCAUAUGACCAAGACCUUUGCAAGCAUCUCCACUAGCCCACACUCCUCCAGAUUUCUUGCACAGACUAGGAUAUGAAAUUAAAUAAAGCACAUGAUAA
Molecule: long non-coding RNA, 2206 nt
Organism: Equus asinus (donkey)
Lineage: Eukaryota; Metazoa; Chordata; Mammalia; Perissodactyla; Equidae
Source: Ensembl